CCAAGAUCUAAUUUUGAGUGAGUCACCAUCUUUCCUUGCCAGAGACCCCCUGCACAGAAGUUGUACUUUGAAAAAGUGAGUAAUUAGGACUUCUUUAUUUUAUCCUUUUUGUUUUUUAUCUGUUGUUGGUGUAAAUAAUUUGUUUAUCAUAUAUUGUUAUAUGCACUGUGAUUAUUUUUUGCUCAUAAUAAACAUUAAUUUAUUAAGUUUUGCCUUUGUCUGGUUAAGAAUCACGUUACCUGAAGAGACUAGUUAGUAUUUUUGCAUUAAGUAUUUUUGUAUUAAGUAAUAUUUGGUGGGUUUUAUUAUUGAUUUACCUGGGGGAUCAAGGCACCCCAUUUAUAAAUUGUCUUGGUGGUGGCAGCGUUAAAAUAGUAAUAGAUAUAUUAUUAUGUUUAAGUGUGGGUGGUGUUAAAAGGGGGAUUUUGUCAUUAUUUCCGGUCUAGUGCAGACAAAUAGUGAACUUUAACCCUUUCACCACCACAACUACGUCACGCACACUCUUGGAGUAGGGUGCGUUCAUGACAGGGUAUAUUACUAGACAAUGGAUUGAUGAAAGCUGUAGAGGCUUGGUACCAUGUAGCAAGAGGUCUCAAAUGGGAGGGAUGGUCAGAAGAGGAAAUUGAUUUUGGAGGGCAAACAAUAUUUGUGUAUCACAUAAAUGUUUGUAAUGAUGAUGAUUCAUCCACUGUUAUUCCCCGGCCACCGCCCUAUGAUGGCGCCCAAAAUGCCACAAGUGAACCAUGUCCCGCCUCCUCAGACACUACCCCAUCUCCGCCCCCCAUUGUUCCACCCCCCGUUGCCAAAGGGCCUCCUACUCCCACCCCUCUGUACCCCGUCCUUGGUGCGGACGGAUCCUACCAUUAUCAUUUCCCUCUCCCACCGUCAGCCAUACCAUCCGCUCUUUCCGUUCCCUCCUCACUCCCAGCCUCUCUCCCUGCUGAUGUUUCCUCACCUCCACUAUCACAGGUCGUUACUGAUGUCGCCCCCUCACCAUCACCAUCCUUCCCCAUUCCUUUCCCCGAUGCCGCUCCUUCCUCACCACUUACUACGUACCUCCCAUUGUUCCAACUCCUGUUCCCACACCCCCGACAUGCAUUGUUCCAUCCGAGACCACACUGGCCCCUCUCCCUGUUAUCCCUUCUGCCCCAAUUUCCUCGUUGCCAUCACCCAUGAUGUCCCCAGCGGUGCCCGUGAUUCCUCCCCCUAUUGUUGCUCCUGCCGCUCCUGUCCCGAUUUCCCCACUCCCUGCUGUCCCUCCGACUCCUGUCCUAGAUUCCUCCUCCUUCCCAUUUCCAAUUCCCUUCCUUCUCCCUCUAUUGACCUCUCAUCCCUUGUCUCAGUCCCCACCACUGCCCUCACUCUUACUCCUCCACCCCUUCCCACUCCUCCUGCCCAGAACCUUCUCCACCCCCCGUAUCCUCUCACCCUAGCUCCUAUUUCUCCACCCCUUUCUACUCCCCCGUUUCCAUUCCAGAACCUUCGUUGCCUCUCACAUCCUCUGCUUCCCCCGACCUUUCCUCUCUCAUUUCGACUCUUGCCGUUUCACUCUCUACUCCCCCUGCCCCCAUUCCAGAGCCUUCACCUCCUGUAUCUUCUCCUUCCCCCGAUCUCUCCUCUCUCAUCUCAGCCCUUGCCGCUUCUCUUAGUUCCACUCCUCCUUCCCUACUCCCUCCCAUUCCUCCUGCUCCUGUUCCAGAACCUUCUCCUCUACCCGUACCCUCUCCUCCCCCUGAUCUUUCGCCACUCAUCUCCACCCUUUCUGCUGCGCUUGCCUCUAAUUCCACUCCUGAUCCUCCACCCUUUCCUACUCCUCUUGCCCCCGUAGUGGAUCCUCCCUCCUCUCCUUGUGAUCUUCCAUUCCUUAUCUUCACCCUCUCCACUCUCCUUACCCCUACCUCCACUCCCACUGUUCCAUCCCCUUCCAUCUCUACAGCUCCCAUGUUAGAACCUCCUCCUCCCCUGAUACCAAUGCUACGUCACUCAUUUCCGCCCUCCUAGCUUUGCUCACUACUCCACCUAUCUCUCCUCCCCCUCCACCUCCUUCUCCACAACCUGCUCUUCCUGCUUCUGUUCCAGAUUCCCCUCCCCCUCCUACUUCUAACCCUGACGUCUCUUCCCACGAUCUCGCGUCACUCAUCUCCUCCCUCUCCAAUCACCUGUCUCAGCUUACUCAACCCACACCCUCACCCGCUCUGGUCCCCGUUCCUGCCCCUCCGAUAAACACCCCCAGUUACCCACUCAUGAUUGUUGGGACAAAUUAGUCUGUCACGUCAGGACAACCUCAGGCUGCUGAUGCUUCCCCUGCUGCCUCAGGUUUCCAUCCCACCACGUCUCAGUUAGUCACCCCCCAGACUAUCGCUGUUGGCCCUCCCGGUUCCAAUACCCUGAUGGCUCCAGUCCCCAACUCACUUGAUGUUGUUAGCUACCAUGGUCUCCCAGUCCCACCUAGGGACGAUAAUGUGCCAGAGCUUAGCCCAUUCCGCCCCUCAAAUAACAGACCUACCCAGAGACAAGCCAUUGCAGCUACUCACCUCCCUACCUCAUCAGCAGUGGAAGGAGCCCCGCCAAUGUAUGUUACAUUUAACCCAUCCCAAGCUGCAACCUUGGUAACUUCUCUCCCCGAUCCAGAGAAACAACCCAUGCCCUUUUUCUGAAGAAUUGCUCAGAUUCGUAAAACAUACUCAGCAGCCUGACGUGAUUUGUAUAGUUUAUGUGAGAUCAAGGCUGGGGAUGCCUACUGGCCAAUUAUGGAAAGGAGUUUUAAUGAUGCAGUACUCACCACUGAUAUGGAUUUUCAGUCGGGCAUUGUUUUCUGUGAGCAACUCAAAGCCUGGGCCCAGGAUAAACUGGCUGACCAGGCCACUUGCAUAAAUGAUAUCAUACAAGACAAACUUGAGUCAGCAGAAAAAUAUCAUUCCAGGUUAACCCAAACAUUUUCUGAUCUUGGAUCCAGUGUAUAUAAUAAAGCACAUACUCAGAUGUUUUCAGCCGCCUUUGUGGCUGGUCUUAAGGAGACUAUCAGGAAAGGCUUAGUGCUUGCACGUCCUGAAUACAGAAUUAUUCCUUUGAACACUCUCUUGUUGGUAGCAAAGGGUUUAGAAUCAGUUCUGCAGCCAACACAGAAGAAAAGUAACCCACUCAUGUUUUCUAACUCUAGCCCUACUAUCAGACCCAGCUUGGGGCCCCAGAAUCAUCCCAGAUUGGCUAUUAUGCCAGGUACACAAGGACAAUCCCCAGCACUCAGACCUCUGGCCAGGGUAUGCUUUAAUUGUAACUUACCAGGUCAUCUCCGCAAGAAUUGCCCACAUCCACAGAUAACUCGCCCACCACCCAUCAGACCUCCUCUGCACCCCAACACCCAUACAGCUGCAUAUGGGGGUCCUCAACAUGGUUUCCCUCCACAGACACAGCCACAAGCACCAUAUUACCCACUGCAGGAUUAUACCCAAGCUAUUUAUCAACCCAGUCAAUUUAACACACACACUCCCCCAGGUACUGCCCAUCAAAAUCAUCAAACAAGUCACCCUACUACACGUCAUUACACUCAGGGCCGUCUUUAACGCGGGGCAAACGGGGCAGCUGCCCCGGGCCCAGUUGCUCCUGGGGGCCCAGAGCAGCUGCACUGUGGGCCCCGCGAUUUGCGCAGCCCCUAUGGACCGGGCGGUGCGGCUCCCGCACACUGAGGAGGCUCCCCGGGUGGCCCAUGCACUAAGGGCCACCUGGGGAGCAUGUGUCAGCAGGGGCCCGGUCGGGCGCUGUGGCGCUUAAACAGCGCGACCGGGCCCCUCUUCCGGUUCUGCAGCCAGCUGGGAGGAAGUGACGUCAUUUCCUCCCACCAGAGAUAGCCGCGCGGGAGGAGGAAGGCAGGGAGGAGGGGAGUUCCAGAGGAGAACUCCCAUCUGCCUCAGCCUGCCACUGGACCAGGGAAACCACCCUCCAGGAAAAGGUAAGAACCUGGAGGGUGGCUAAAUGUAUGUCUGUGUGUGUAUGCCUGUCAGUAUGUCUGUGUGUGUCAGUAUGUCUGUGUGUGUGUCAGUAUGUCUGUGUCUGUAUGUGUCAGUAUGUCUGUGUCUGUCUCAGUAUGUGUGUGUGUCAGUAUGUGUGUGUGUGUCAGUAUGUGUGUGUCAGUAUGUGUGUGUGUCAGUCAGUAUGUGUAUGUGUGUGUGUGUCUGUAUGUCUGUGUGUGUGUGUCUGUAUGUCUGUGUGUGUGUGUCUGUAUGUCAGUAUGUCUGUGUGUGUAUGUCUGUGUGUGUGUGUCAGUAAGUCUGUGUGUGUGUACGUGUAUGUGUGUCAGUAUGUCUGCCAGGAUAUAUUUGUGUGUCAGUGUAUGUGUGUGUCAGUAUGUAUCUGUGAAUGUUUUAAUGUCUGUCUGUGUGUAUGUGCCAGUACGUCUGUCUGUGUGUAUGUCAGUAUGUCUGUGUGUGUAUGUGUAUGUAAGUAAGUACGUCUGUGUGUGUAUGUGUGUGUCAUUCAGUAUGUCUGUCAGUGUAUGUGUCUGUGUGUGUAUGUAUGUAUGUCUGUGUGUCAGUAUGUCUGCCAGGAUAUAUUUGUAUGUCAGUGUAUGUGUGUGUCAGUAUAUAUCUGUGAAUGUUUUAAUGUCUGUCUGUAUCAGCCAUUACGUCUGUCUGUGUAUAUGUCAGUAUGCCUGUGUGUAUAUGUCAGUAUGCCUGUGUGUAUAUGUCAGUAUGCCUGUGUGUGUGUGUGUCAAUGUGUCUGUCAGUGUAUGUGUCUAUGUGUUUUAGUAUAUCUGUCAGUGUAUGUGUUUGUGUGUGUGUCAGUAUAUCUGUUAAUGUAUGUGUCUGUGUAUGUAUGUAUGUAUGUCUGUGUGUGUGUGUCAGUAUAUCUGCCAGUAUAUAUUUGUGUGUAGUGACUGUGUGUGUCAGUAUGUAUCUGUGAAUGUUUUAAUGUCUGUCUGUGUGUGUAUGUGCCAGUACGUCUGUCAGUGUGAUUGCGGGUUGGACGUAAUUGGGGGUUGAGGCAGUGGCAGGGACAGGGCCCAUGGGGCCCAAGAAAAUGCAUUGCCCAGGGUCCUAAUCAUAUUAUAGACGGCCCUGAUUACACUGGCCCUGAUCAGUCUCAUCUAGAUCUCGUACAAUAGGUAACCGGCAAACCUGUGUCUGACACCCCUGUUAUGGCAGUGUCUGCAGUGGACAAAGGGGGGCCCCUAGCUACCGUAGUAUUACCAGUUGAGGGUCAUCCUACUACCUUUCUAGUUGACACAGGUGCAGCCUGUAGUGUUCUCAGAGAACAAGACCUGCCAGAUCCUUCCUACUUUUCUGACCUCAAUGUUUCCUGUGUGGGUGUUGAUGGUAACCCCCAAAACAACCCAUUAACUAAACUCUUGCAUGUUGGUUCUAACAUUCUUUCCCGUUUCGUUGUUUCAUCCACCUGUCCUAUUAACCUCCUAGGAGCUGAUGUGUUGUCUCGCCUUCAGGCUUCUAUCUCCUUCACUGCCGAUGGUCAGGUCCAAUUACUUACUUCACUUUCUCGUGAAGAUACUUCUGUUCUUUUUGGUUUAGAAAAGAGAUGAAAAAAAAAAAAGAAGAAGAAAAGAGCCUUAAAUAACUAGUACCUCCAUGGGGGAUAACCCCUAUUUUGUAAACAGGAAAAAAGGAAGAAGUUGGAGGUGCCAGUACUAUAUCAUUUAACAACCAGGGAAACACUCAGAUGUUGUAAUGAAGACUGAAAUUUUAUGUUAAAACAUCACUUUUAAUAUAUUAGUUAAAAAGUCCCUUACUAGUAGGGACAAUGAAUACACACUAUCACACCAAAAGUUAUGUACAAAAAAUAUUAAUAAUAAUGAUAAAUAAAAAAUAGAAAUAAAUAAAAUAAUUACACAAGAUCAAAGCUAUAUAGCUAUAUAUCUACUGUGGACAUUUAUAGCCCGCUGUAUAUUGUCCUAUGGUGUAAUUGUAAUAGACCACGCGUGUGGAUUUGUGUGUCAAAUACACUUGUUCUCAGAUAAAUUCAUAGAAGGAUAGAUGAAUAUAUGGCUCUGUAAAUGAUAUCUUUGAUAGCAGAUUAAAUGGUUUUAAUAAAUAGACUUAGAAUGAUAUUCCCUAGAUAUUGUUAAAUUUAUUGUUGGCAUUGAUUGCCCUUAAUAUUGGUGCACCGGCUCGCUAAUAUUUAGCUGUUGUGCAAAUUGUACUUAAAGUCUACGGCAGUAACAAUAUGGCUAAUAUAAUUAAACCAUGUAAAAUUACAGUUACCAAAUGCUGAUAACAAAAUCAGCUUGUAGAUGCAUUAGUUGCUGAUUACUGUAACCGUAAUUAACUAUUAGCUGCUGUACUGUCUAAGAUUAAAUUAUAGGAAUUAGCCUAUUCGAUUAACCGUCAGCUUGCACCAGUUCCCGAGACCCCAAAAGGAAAAGUUUAAACAUAGGUUAUCUACAGUUGCAAGAAAAAGUAUGUGAACCCUUUGGAAUUAUAUGGAUUUCUGCACAAAUUGGUCAUAAAAUGUGAUCUGAUCAUCAUCUAAGUCACAACAAUAGACAAUCACAGUCUGCUUAAACUAAUAACACUCAAAGACUGAACUGCUGCCAUGUUUUUAUUGAACACACCAUGUAAACAUUCACAGUGCAGGUGGAAAAAGUAUGUGAACCCCUAGACUAAUGACAUCUCCAAGAGCUAAUUGGAGUGAGAUGUCAGUCAACUGGAGUCCAAUCAAUGAGAUGAGAUUUGAGAUGUUGGUUACAGCUGCCCUGCCCUAUAAAAAACACACACCAUUUCUGGGUUUUCUUUUCACAAGAAGCAUUGCCUGAUGUGAAUGAUGCCUCGCACAAAAGAGCUCUCAGAAGACCUACGAAUGAGAAUUAUUGACUUGCAUAAAGCUGGAAAGAGUUAUAAAAGUAUCUCCAAAAGCCUUGCUGUUCAUCAGUCCACGGUAAGACAAAUUGUCUAUAAAUGGAGAAAGUUCAGCACUGCUGCAACUCUCCCUAGGAAUGGCCGUCCUGUAAAAGCGACUGCAAGAGCACAGCGCAGACAGCUCAAUGAGGUGAAAAAGAAUCCUAGAAUGUCAGCUAAAGACUUACAAAAGUCACUGGCAAAUGCUAACAUCCCUGUUAGCGAAUCUACAAUACGUAAAACACUAAACAUGAAUGGAUUUCAUGGGAGGAUACCACAGAGGAAGCCACUGCUGUCCAAACAAAACAUUGCUACACGUUUACAGUUUGCACAAGAGCACCUGGAUGUUCCACAGCAGUACUGUCAAAAUAUUCUGUGGACAGAUGAAACCAAAGUUGAGUUGUUUGGAAGAAACACACAACACUAUAUGUGGCAAAAAAAAAAGCACAGCACACCAACAUCAAAACCUCAUCCCAACUGUGAAGUAUGGUGGUGGGGGCAUCAUGGUUUGGGGCUGCUUUGCUGCAUCAGGGCCUGGAUGGAUUGCUUUCAUCGAAGGAAAAAUUAAUUCCCAAGUUUAUCAAGACAUUUUGCAGGAGAACUUAAGGCCAUCUGUCUACCAGCUGAAGCUCAACAGAAGAUGGGUGUUGCAACAGGACAAUGACCCAAAGCAUAGAAGUAAAUCAACAACAGAAUGGCUUAAACAGAAGAAAAUACGCCUUCUGAAGUGGCCCAGUCAGAGUCCUGACCUCAACCCGAUUGAGAUGCUGUGGCAUGACCUCAAGAAAGCGAUUCACACCAGACAUCCCAAGAAUAUUGCUGAACUGAAACAGUUCUGUAAAGAGGAAUGGUCAAGAAUUACUCCUGACCGUUGUGCACGUCUGAUCUGCAACUACAGGAAACGUUUGGUUGAAGUUAUUGCUGCCAAAGGAGGUUCAACCAGUUAUUAAAUCCAAGGGUUCACAUACUUUUUCCACCUGCACUGUGAAUAUUUACAUGGUAUGUUGAAUAAAAACAUGGCAACAUUUCAUUCUUUGUGUGUUAUUAGUUUAAGCAGACUGUGAUCGUCUAUUGUUGUGACUUAGAUGAUGGUGAUCCGAUCACAAUUUAUGACCAAUUUGUGCAGAAAUCCAUAUCAUUCCAAAGGGUUCACAUACUUUUUCUUGCAACUGUAUAUCGAGUAGCUACCAAAAUAUAUAAGUGCUAUAGCUAAGUCCUUAAUAUCUUAUAUUUUCGUUCCUAAAAUAUUGGACGGUUAAUCGAAUAGGCUAAUUCCUAUAAUUUACAAGUGUAUUUUACACACAAAUCCACACGCGUGGUCUAUUACAAUUACACCAUAGGACAAUAUACAGUGGGCUAUAAAUGUCCACAGUAGAUACAUAGCUAUAUAGCUUUGAUCUUGUGUAAUUAUUUUAUUUAUUUCUAUUGUUUGUUUAUUAUUUUUUAUUUAUUAUUCUUAUUAUUUUUUGUACAUAAAUUUUGAUGUGAUAGUGUGUAUUCAUUGUCCUUACUAGUAAGGGACUUUUUAACUAAUAUAUUAAAAGUGAUGUUUUAACAUAAAAUUUCAGUCUUCAUUAUAACCUCUGAGUUUUUCCCUGGUUGUUAAAUGAUUUAGUACUGGCACCUCCAACUUCUUCCUUUUUUCCUGUUUACUUCUGUUCUUUGCUCUUUACCCCUGCUCAUGCACAUGACAUCCCCCACAAAGGAACCAAGGGUCCCCCAUGCCUCCAGUGCGCUAGAUGCGAUCCCAACUAAACUUUGGUCUACAGGCCCAGAUGAUAUUCCCACCUGUGGUAGUCACACAGUCAUUGAAGGAGCUCAUCCACCACGACGACCACAGUACAUAGUUACAUAGUUACAUAGUUACAUAGCUGAAAAGAGACUUGCGUCCAUCAAGUUCAGCCUACCUCACAUUUGUUUUUUGCCUUUGAUCCAAAAGAAGGCAACAAAAACCCAGUUUGAAGCACAAUUUUGCAACAAGCUAGGAAAAAAAUCCUUCUUGACCCCAGAAUGGCAGUCAGAUUUAUCCUUGGAUCAAGCAGUUAUUACCCUACAUUGAAAGAUUAUAUCCUUGAAUAUUCUGUUCUUGCAAGUAUGCAUCUAGUAGCCGUUUGAACAUCUGUAUGGACUCUGAUAAAACCACUUCUUCAGGCAGAGAAUUCCACAUCCUGAUUGUUCUUACAGUAAAAAACCUUUCCUUUGCCUUAGACGAAAUCUUCUUUCUUCCAGUCUAAACGCAUGGCCUCGUGUCCUAUGUAAAGUCCGGUUUGUGAAUAGAUUUCCACACAAUGGUUUGUAUUGGCCCCGAAUAUAUUUGUAUAAUGUUAUCAUAUCCCCUCUCAGGCGACGUUUUUCUAAACUAAAUAGAUUUAAAUUUGUUAACCUUUCUUCAUAGCCGAUAUGUUCCAUUCCUUUUAUUAAUUUUGUAGCCCGCCUCUGCACUUUUUCUAGUACCAUAAUAUCCUUCUUUAGAACAGGUGCCCAAAAUUGCACAGCAUAUUCAAUAUGGGGUCUUAUCAGUGAUUUAUAAAGAGGCAAAAUUAUAUUCUUGUCCCAAGAAUGAAUGCCUUUUUUCAUGCAUGACAAUACCUUACUGGCCUUGGCCACUGCUGAUUGACAUUGCACAUUGUUGCAUAGUUUGUUGUCUAUAACAAUUCCCAAGUCCUUUUCAUGUGUUUUCAUCUCUAAUUCGCUUCCAUUAAGGGUAUACGUUGCUUGUGUAUUCUUUACGCCGAAGUGCAUAACUUUGCAUUUUUUAACAUUAAAUUUCAUCUGCCAUUUGAGUGCCCAGUCCCCCAGUCUAUCUAAAUCCCUCUGCAGCAAAGUAAUAUCUUGCUCACAUUGUAUUGUUUUACAAAGUUUUGUGUCAUCUGCAAACACUGAAACAUGACUUUCAAUGCUGUCUUCAAGAUCAUUUAUAAACAUGUUAAAUAGAAGGGGUCCCAGAACAGACCCCUGAGGGACACCACUUGCCACCUCUGUCCAGCUUGAAAAUUUACCAUUAAUGACAACUCUUUGUACUCUGUUUUUAAGCCAAUGUUCUACCCAAGAACAAGCAUUUUCAUCUAGACCGAUUUCCUUGAGUUUGAACACUAAUCUAUUGUGUGGAACUGUAUCAAAUGCCUUGUCAAAAUCCAAAUAGAUCACAUCCACGGCAACACCCUGAUCUAUACUUCUACUUACUUCUUCGUAGAAUGCAAUCAAGUUAGUUUGACAUGACCUGUGCUUCAUAAAACCAUGCUGAUUUUUGCUGAUAACCAUGUUCUUCUCAAGGAAUUCUUGAAUAUUAUCCCUUAAUAACCUUUCAAAUAUUUUACCAGCCACAGAAGUUAAGCUCACAGGUCUAUAAUUUCCAGGCAAGGAUUUUGAACCCUUUUUGAAUAUAGGAACCACAUCUGCCUUCCUCCAAUCCUCCGGAACACUUCCUGAAAGAAAAGAAUCUUGAAAGAUUAAAAACAGAGGUUCACUUAUUUCUGCACUUAGUUCCUUAAGUACACGUGGAUGGAUACCGUCAGGCCCUGGAGCUUUGUUUAUAUUAACUUUCUUUAGUUGCUGCAGCACCUUGUCUUGAGUUAACCAAUUACAAUUAUUCUGCAAGUUUUUAGUAGCAAUCAUUUGCACAUCUAUUGCCAUGGGUUCUUCCUUAAUAUAUACGGAGGAGAAAUAGUUAUUUAAAAUUCCUGCCUUUUCCUGGUCUUCAUUAACUAACACCCCCGUUUCAGUUUUUAGUGUACCUACACUUUCAUUUUGUUUUUUUUUAGAAUUUAUGUACUUAAAAAAUGCUUUGGGGUUGGUUUUGCUCUCUUCAGCUAUCAUUAUUUCAUUUUGAAGUUUAGCAAGUCUAAUUGCCUUUUUGCACGCAUUAUUUGCAUCCUUAUAUCUUUUAUAAGAUGCAUCUGAUUUGUCCGAUUUAAAUGCUUUAAAUGCCCUUUUCUUAGUUGUAAUCUCUUGUUUUACUUCUCUACUAAGCCACAUUGGUUUUAAUUUGUUUCUUUUAUAUUUAUUUCCCAACGGUACAUACUGAGAAAUGUACCUUUGUAAUAUUUGUUGGAAGAUGAUCCAUUUAUCCUCAGUGUUCUUUUCACUAAAGAGUUUAUGCCAGUCAAUAUAUUGUAAAGCUUCCCUUAACUUAUUGAAAUUGGCCUUUUUAAAAUUAUAUGUUUUAGUAUUCCCCAUGUGCUUUUGUUUUUUUGAGUUUAUUUCAAAGGACACUAUAUUGUGAUCACUAUUUCCCAAGUGCUCACCUACUUGAAUGUUGGUCAAAAGAUCAACGCUGUUUGUUAAAACCAGGUCCAGACAAGCAUCCAUUCUAGUUGUGUACAAGUUGUGACAUGAAGGUGUCAUUUAACAAGUUUAAAAACCUAAUUCCCUUUGCUGAGGCACUAGUCCCUCUGUCCCAAUUUAUAUCCGGGUAAGUACCCAUUGAAACAUGCACAAGCUCUUGCCAUCUCGAAACAAGUUGAAAGUCUGGUUGCAAAAGAUGCUUUAAUCAAAUGUGUUUCACAGUGUAAUACUCCCCUGUUUCCUGUAAAGAAGAAAACUGAUUAAAAAAAAGGCCAACCAGACCAAUAUCGCAUGGUCCAGGAUCUCCGUGUUGUCAAUGAGGUUACUAAACGGGACACGGCUGUCGUUCCAAAUCCGCAUACAUUGUUGUCACAAGUGCCUUCAACUGCUAAAUUCUUCACAGUGGUUGAUCUUGCAAACACCUUCUUCAGUGUGCCUUUGGAUCCCUCAUGUGAGUAUUUAUUCGCUUUCACACAUGACCGCCAGCAAUUUACAUGGACUGUUAUGCCUCAAGGUGCGCAAAAUCCUCCAACGCAAUUUGCAAAAGCAAUGUCUAUUGUACUUGAACCCUGGCAGAAAUCUCACCCAGAUGUGGUCCUGCUCCAGUAUGUUGAAGAUUUACUGCUCUGUACAGAUGACUUUCCAACAGCUGAACGCCACUCUGUGGAUCUUCUCUGUUUCCUCGCAGAAGAAGGUUGCAAAGCCUCCAAAGCUAAACUCCAGUUGUGCUGGCCCACAGUGGUAUUCUUGGGACAUUGUCCUUCCCAUGGCACCCGUCACCUGACAAGAGACAAAGUUCAUGCAAUCACAAAUCUUCCCCUUCCAUCUACUCACCAGGCUCUCCAAGCCUUCCUGGGCCUCAUUACUUACUGCAAAUUUUGGAUUCCUGAGGCCUCUCAACUCAUGCAACCCCUCUACGACGCCUUGAAGACUGAACCCUUCACAUUGUCCUCCACAGCCUGCAGUUGAUACUUUGCUCUACAAAGGGCAAUCUCUUCGGCCCCUGCUCUGGGCCUCCCUAACUACCAGUUGCCAUUCAUGCUUUUUGUCUCUGAGAAUAUGGGCCAUGCCUCAGGGGUGCUUACUCAAUCUCAUGGGCUCUGGCAGUGUCCCAUAGGGUACUUUUCCUGCAUGCUUGACCCCGUAGCCAGAGGAGGUCCUUCCUGUUUGCAUGCUGUUUUCGCUGCAAGUGCCCUCCUGGAUAAAACUAAUGAUUUUGUUCUUGGACACAAACUGACUGUUCUGGCUCCACAUGACAUCGCUGCUAUUCUGAAUCAAGUCCAACUGAAACAUCUUUCCUGUCAGAGAUGUCUUCAAACUUCUCUUCUUUUACCAGACAACGUUACCAUACAACGAUUUUAUUCUUUGAAUCCGGCCACUCUUCUGCCACUUCCCAAGGGGGGAGUUCCACAAUACUGGUACAGUUUGCAUAUACAUCCUGAUGUUUACAUGGAACUACAAAUUGAAAAGCCCACAAUUCCACAUGAUGAACAACCCGAGACCCAACUACAUUGCACCCUGUGGUUUCGAGAUACUCCAGAUCCUGACUCAUACUAUGAAGAAGAAUUGUUUAGCCUGGUGGAGGUGCAGAUUACACUGACAGAUCUGUUCUGUGACUUCAAGGGGAACAUUGUCAUCCUAGUCUGUCUACCAAUGGAGGUAUCACAUUUGUAUCACCAUUGGGAGGUGGCUGUUCCUCAUGUUUCUUUCACCAAGUCUCCAGAUAUCUCAUGGAAAGAACAAAAACAAGAAUAAUAGGUUGCGCUACGUAAAUAUCAAAUGAAAAAGGGAUAAAUAUGGCAAAACACUUUAAAACGUAAAAGAGGAAUAAUAUGUAUAAAGAAAAGGGGAUUUAAUAAAUAUAUAUAACAAAUAUAUAUAUAAAAAAAGAUAGUCCAAAUUCUUGAUAUAAUUUAAAAAGUUCAAAUAAGUGGAUGAUAGUGACAGUACUUGGUAUAUUUCUCUUUCAGGUUCCGGUAAGUAUUUGGAGGUAGAAAGUCCAAUAAGAGACUGAAUCUUCUAAUCUUUAGAGGAGUCUUGAUUCAGAGAUGAACAUGGAAAAUAUAAGCAACAAAGACGAUCCAAUAGUGUAGACUGUCUGUGAUAAAUAAUAAUAAUAAUAGGUAGGUAGUACAUUCACCUAUCUUAGAGCAUGAACUUGCUCUAGUAUGUUGGGCGUUCAGUGGCGUUUAUCCCCCACUGGUAGGAUAUAGGUGAAGGUAAUUCCUCGGUAAUAAAAAGGAGAUAAAAGCAGAAUAUAGUGCUCACUGAAUCAAAAUGAAAUAAAGUGAAAUAAAAGGAAUAAAAAUACUCACAUUCGAAUGAGCAGGAUAAACUGCUCAGUAUAUUCGCAUAGGUGGUACAAUCCCCACCAAGGAUUCUUGGUCGUGGGUAGAUUCCAAGUUGGUGAAUGACCAGGUGACAGGAAAUAUUUUUAAAACAAAAUUAUUUAAAAAUAAGAUAAAAAGGUAUAUGGCAAAAUUGAUGUAAAAAAGCCACUAUUCCUUUAUUAGUACAAUAAAAAAUAUAUAAAAUAGCCAAAACGCAUUUCGCCACACAGGGCUUUAUCAACUGGCAAUAAUAAAAAUCAGCCUGGUACAUAGAUACUUUUAUAAACUAUGAUAAAACAUGCUUAUUCAAAUUUUGGCGCCAAAAUGACGUCAUCCAUACAGUGUGUAAAAAGCAAAAUGAUUAAUAACAUAAAAAUACAUAAAAAUACAAAAUGCAUAGUAUUCAUAAUUUAAAAUGUAAAGUAAUACAUAAUAUUUAAUAAUAAAACGAGUGUUAUUUGUUGAAAUAAUAGAUAGAAUCAAAAAUCAUGUGAUCGCAAUCUAAUGCGAUCACAUGGUGAACACUGAGGCAAUAUGGGAAAUGGAGUGACAGGGGAGAAAGCAAAAAUAGAUGGUCACGUGAUCGCGGACCUUCGCGAUCACGUGACUGAUUGCACACAUCGAUAUAGGGUGUAGCCGCUCAGACGGAGGUCGGCAGCCUACGGCACGCCUCCGUCUGACAUCAAUGGUGGGGGCGGUGUAUACCGCGAGUGCUCAUGGGGUGUGUAGUGUUCAGACGGGGGCCGGCAACUAGGGGCACGCCUCCGUCUGACAUCUACAAAAAAGGGGCGGCGCCUAAUGCCGUUCGUGAUCCACCUUGUAAAAAAAUAAAAAUAAGUGGCAUAACAGCCAAAAUUAGAACUAUUAUGAAUAAAACAAAUAUGAAUAUACAGAACAAAUAUAAGUAUAAAAACAAAUAUGAGUAUGUGAAGGAAUAAGAAAAAGGAAUAAUAGAACUAAAAAAAGUGAAAGGUGUAUUUAGGAGCUAAAUAGCUAGGUAUAUAUUGUUAACCUUAUAAAUAAAUGAAGGGUAAAAAGUGAGAUAUAUAAUAAAAAAUAAAAUAUAAAAUAUAAAAAUAAAAAUAAAAAUAAUUUUAUAAAAAAUUAAAAAGGUCAAAUUCAGCGUUCAAGCCCUCAGGAAAAAGAGUCUUAAGUGUAAAAACCCAAUACAUUUCUCUUUUGCCUAAAGUUUUUAUAAUAUCUCCACCUCUCCAUGGGAGAGUGACUUGUUCUAUACCAGUUACUUUUAGGAGUGUCGGAUCUUUAUUAUGUAUUAAAAAAUGCUUGGAAACUGAGUGAUUCUCAUAACCUCUCCUAAUGUUACGGCAAUGUUCUGCUAGUCUCACUUUAAGGCAUCUUUUAGUCAUGCCCACAUAUUGGAGCCCGCAUGGACAUUCCAAUAAAUAUAUCACAUUUUUGGUAUUACAACCUAUAUAUUCUUUAAUGGUGUAGGAGGUUUUAGUAAUAUUAGAUUACUUUAUUUCAUUUUGAUUCAGUGAGCACUAUAUUCUGCUUUUAUCUCCUUUUUAUUACCGAGGAAUUACCUUCACCUAUAUCCUACCAGUGGGGGAUAAACGCCACUGAACGCCCAACAUACUAGAGCAAGUUCAUGCUCUAAGAUAGGUGAGUGUACUACCUACCUAUUAUUAUUAUUAUUUAUCACAGACAGUCUACACUAUUGGAUCGUCUUUGUUGCUUAUAUUUUCCAUGUUCAUCUCUGAAUCAAGACUCCUCUAAAGAUUAGAAGAUUCAGUCUCUUAUUGGACUUUCUACCUCCAAAUACUUACCGGAACCUGAAAGAGAAAUAUACCAAGUACUGUCACUAUCAUCCACUUAUUUGAACUUUUUAAAUUAUAUCAAGAAUUUGGACUAUCUUUUUUUAUAUAUAUAUUUGUUAUAUAUAUUUAUUAAAUCCCCUUUUCUUUAUACAUAUUAUUCCUCUUUUACGUUUUAAAGUCUUUUGCCAUAUUUAUCCCUUUUUCAUUUGAUAUUUACGUAGCGCAACCUAUUAUUCUUGUUUUUGUUAUUUCUCUUUUGAGGACUUCAGAGGGAACCUCAUACCUAUAGGCUGCAGCUUUCCACUUGAUCACAUCACACAGCGCUGAUCCAUUUUCUACCUACACCUAUCUCAUGGAAAGAACUCGGGCCAAUGGCCAAAGAAUGGAGCACUGCAACACAAGAACAACUCACAGUGACGGGGGUCACUAAGACGACCAUAAAUUGCAAAACUAUCGGUUACCCCCGAUAGUAUGCAGAGAUAUGUGAAGAUGUGCCUCCUACAGAACCAGACCCAGAAGCUCCACAUGAUUGCUUUGAACAGAUGAAGAUGGAAACCACCCAUCUUCCCACAGUGCACGAAACUGCCUUGCCAAACCCUGACUACACGCUGUUUGUGGAUGGUUCCAGAUUCGCAGAAGAAAAGGGUCAAAACCAUACCGGAUAUGCAGUCACCACAGAAGACCAAAUACUUCAAGCAUCCUCACUUCCCUCCUCCAAAUCAGCCCAAGAAGCCGAGUUGAUAGCCCUCACAGUGGCAUGCAGAAUAUCAGAAGGGAAGCGUGUCAACAUUUAAACAGACUCCAGGUAUGCCCUAGGAGUAGCGCAUGACUUUUGCUUAAUCUGUAAGACCAGGGGAUUUCUUAUAGCAACAGGUACUCCUGUAAAACAUGGUCGACCAUCAAUAAGUUAAUGGACGUCUUACUACUGCCAGAGGAAGUAGCUAUACUAAAAGUCAAGUCCCAUGGGAAAUUGAAUUCAGAAGAAGCCCAUGGUAACCAUCUGGGCUACCAAGCAGCUAAAGAUGUAGCGCGCCGGAAUUUGGAAGUAGACAGAAGAGUGUCCGAUGAAAGGACCCCUGUUUACACCAUGCAAACCCUACCCACUGACCUCAGAUUCCUAAGAGACCAACAGGCCGCUGCUACCCCACAGGAAAAACAAAGCUGGAAGGAUAAAGGAGCAAUCAUUCAGAAUGAUAUAUAUAUAUAUAUAUAUAUAUAUAUAUUGUGAUAAGGUGAAUGGGGUGGUCUGUGAGGGAGUUUAUAUUUCGACUGAAUUGUUCAGAGAGGCAUAUGAUUUUUAACCUCAGGGGGAGUGUGUGUCUGUGUGUAUAUAACUGAAAUGAAUAUUUAGUUAUGGGCCCCUGGGGUGGAGAAUUUGGAGAGCAGGGUGGGCCAGUGCUCCACUCCGCAGUUUAGCGGUUUUCUUGGGAGACAUAGAUCCAGGUCAGGGUUUUUGGACUGUCUCCAACCCACUGCUCAGCUGCAGGUAAUCAGCUGCAGCAGUGGGAAUAAACCCCUCCCUGCUAGGCAGGUAGGAGAGAAUGUUUGUUUCUCUUUUGAAGGGAUGGAAGCAGCAGGCUGACUAAACACUGGAGUGCUGAGAGCUAACAAAGACACUAGGUUGGUGAAACCAGUAUUAUUUGUUAUAGUUUAACCCCUGAGAGAUAGGGAAUCUAAAGUUAGUUAGUGCUCAGACGAGCUAGGUUUUUGUUUAUAGGGAUUUUGUUACAUUAUUGUUUUUUUCAUUUACUACUGUCUGUGUGGAUUUACAAAUAAAGUGCCUGGAAUUAAUUUACUUUUAAAGACUGUGCAUGUUUGUACCCAAAAGGACCGUGCUAACUGCAGACAAGGAUCACAAUAUAUACAAUCAACCUUAAAGUCUGUCUACCCAAGAAUAUGUACCCGGCUGUUGUCCAAUGGGCUCAUGGACCAGCACAUUUGUCAAAACAACUCAUUAACUCUUUGAUUGACAAGUAUUUCAAAGCACCUGGGAUCACUACCUUAACUCGAAACUACUGCCGGUCCUGUACUAUCUGUGCUAAAUGCAACCCAGGAAAAAUAAUCAAAGCUGCACCGAAUCAUUUGGCCAAACCACAAUAUCCCUUCCAAAGGAUCCAAAUUGAUCAUAUCCAAAUGCUGAAGAGCGGCCGUUACAAGUAAGCAUUGGUCAUAGUGGAUAUGUUUUCAGGGUGGCCAGAAGCUUUCCCAGUUGAUCAACCUUACUGCAAAAACUACCACAAAACACCUACUCACCGAAAUUAUCUGCAGAUACGGAAUCCCCGAAGUAAUUGAAAGUGACCAAGGUACAUCUUUCACCGCAUUACUGACCCGAGAAAUCUGGGCAGCACUGGGGGUGACCCUUGCUUUCCAUGCACCCUAUCACCCACAGAGUAGUGGUAAGGUAGAACGCAUGAAUGGGACUCUGAAAGCCAGAAUGCUCAAAAUGUCACAGGAAACUAAUUUGCCCUGGCCGGAGAGUCUCCCCAUAGCACUCUUUAGUGUAAGGUACACCCCAAGAGGGAAGUUUAACUUAUCCUCCUACGAGCUUUUGUUUGGGACAGCACCCAGGUUAGGCUGUUACUUUCCACAACAACUUCAACUUCAGUCAGAUGCAAUGGUAGAUUAUAUAACUGCACUUUCUCAUGCCUUGACCAAAAUCCAUGCAGAGGUGUUUUUUUCUAUUCCAGAUCCAGAAUCCAAUACAGGCACGCACAAGUUAUUACCUGGUGAUUGGGUUAUGGUCAAGAAGUUCCUAAGAAAACCUACUCUUGAGCCAAGGUUUGAUGGUCCAUUCCAAGUACUACUGACUACAGCUACCUCUGUAAAGUUGGAUGGGAAGAACACUUGGAUACACGCUUCACACUGUAAGAAGGUUCCUGAUCCAGAGCAAGCGGAUCCCAUCCCAACAUGAGCCUUUUAUAUUUAUGUUUGCUGCUAGGCCUCUUAGAGGCCCAACAAGUUGCUAUUACCAAAGAUAAUCAUGUUUACACAUUUUGGUACAAUUGUUCCAACACACUGGUGGCUACAUUUACUUUUGAUUACUGUGAUAUUGUUACUUGUACUUUCCCACAAUCACAACACUCAGCAAUAUAUAAAGACAUACCAAACAAGAAGGACCCAUACAUUUGUGUAACGGGUGGUCAUUGGGGACAUCACUGUAGCUCAUGGAAAGCAGCGGGUUGGAACACGGACCGACCAUGGGGUUACAGACCACAGAGUGCCUUAGACCGAGUUGACAGACAUGGGAAACCCCUGUUAUACCGAAUGACCUUGUGUAAACCAACAGGGUCUACUCCAAUAAAAUUAACCUUAAACAUAGAACAUCCCAGCCCAGGUGACGCUGGGGAAUAUGUAAUGGGAAUGUAUUGGAAAGGGGGUGGCUCAUACAACAAGUUGGGAACAUUUUAUUUGCAAGACAUGCUUACAUCACCUGACUGGGUAGGAUUAACACACAUGACAGUAAAUCCCCUGAAACCACACAUCAAGACUCUCAAGGACAUGGUGGCUAUUGCCAAUCCCACAUUUGAAGACACUAUGGCUGUGGAGACUGUUUUUUUUCAGAUACUAAUCUAUGGCUUGAAUGGAUGAGGUACAAUGCUAACUCUCAUAAUAAAACCAACUGUUAUGUUUGUGGUGGAGCUAGGCCCCACCUAGGUACAGUGCCUCUAAAUCUACCCCCCGAUGUUGAAACAUGUUUCUUAAGCCUCUAUGCACAAACGAUUGUAAAUUCAUCAGCAUGUGAGUCAUGGAUGAAGGCUUACCCAAUUACUCAAGGGAACACCAGACCACCGGAUGGAGUCACAGUGUACCCAGGUAAUUACACUUGCUAUACAAUGCACGUAGCCACAGGUAGAUUCAUAGGCAAAUUUCCUUCUGGUUACUGUGCAAUUUACCAGAAUUCACCCACAACAUUAUUAGUGAAUCAGAUUAAGUCCAUGGGAGACAUUUAUUGGUUAUGUGGUGACAUGCAACUCAGGUCAAAAAUGACUGGUUUAUGGUGGGGAGAAUGUACUCUAACUAAAGUUAUUAUGCCCAUCCAUAUCUUCCCUGACAACCACCAAGGUCCAUAUGAUUCAUCAUAUACACAUCUUAGAGUAAAAAGAGAAAUCCCUAUUCAAGGUAGUUUUGACCCACAUGUAUAUAUAGAUGCCAUUGGAGUACCUAGGGGGGUACCAAAUGAGUUCAAGGCCAGAGAUGAAGUGGCGGCAGGAUUCGAAUCCUUGAUCCCACUUAUCACUGCUAAUAAGAAUGUUAACUGGAUCAAUUACAUCUACUACAACCAACAACGCUUUGUCAACGACACUCGAGAGGCCCUACAGGGCUUAGCCGAACAGUUACAGGCUACCUCUCACAUGACGUUCCAAAACAGGAUAGCCUUAGACAUGAUCUUGGCCGAAAAGGGGGGCGUAUGUAAAAUAUUCCCUGAGACGAUACCGGUCCUAAUGCUAAGAUAACAUGGCCAUAGAGAAAUUAGAAAAUCUCUCUGAUGAAUUAAAGAAAAACUCAGGGGUUCCCAACUCUUGGGAUAAAUGGUUUGAAUGGAUGAGUGGAUGGCAAAGGACUCUUUUCAAAUAGGGAUGGCAGUUCUUACCGUAAUGAUCUUCUUCCUCUUUCUAACCUGUUGUGUGGUACCAUGUGUGCAAAGGUACUUACAAAAGACCAUUGACCGCACCACACCCAUAUAUCUACACCAAGAUGCUGAUGGUAUUGACUGUGACACUCCACACACACCACUUCAGUCCCAUUAUUUCAAACAGACAACAACUACUACCACUUUAUAGGGACAGUAUAGGGAUAUCGUCUGUCUCUACGGGCAGGAGUCUGACGCAGGAGAUGUAGUGGGUUAGCCACUGCGUAAUACCUGCGCACUGAAGUGUUUGAGGCCUGUUAAAACAGAUGAGCUGCAGCCAAAUUAGGGACAUUAUUACGGUUAGCUAGUAGUUGGCUGUCUUUUCUUUCCUUCCUUUCGUAAAUAGUCCUUUUAAGGGGGGACUGUUGUGGACAAAAAUAUGAACCCAAUUUAUAUUAGUAAAAUGCCUAUUUACUCAACAUAGCUACAAUCAGCAUUAUCCGAUUUUCUAUGUGAUUAUCUAAAAUGGCCGCUAGGGAGUUUCCCCUCUAACACCUACUGACACUCUCAUUAGCAAGAUGGCGCUGGAAUCUGGGGGAGACCUCCACGAUGCCAGUGACAUCACCCUCAGUAGGCAGAGCAUUAAAUGAACCACUUAACACCUAACCAAUUAUUUAUGUAUUAUUUCAUGUUAUCUCUGACAAUGCUUAUGAUGUAAUUUUGCUUUAAAAGGGAUAUGUCGUCCACUCUGAAUAAACAUUCCUCAAGUUUUUCAUUAACCCGA
Non-coding RNA from Pelobates cultripes (western spadefoot toad), 20591 nucleotides. The record is from the annotation of a GenBank genome assembly. NCBI's taxonomy places the organism in Eukaryota, Metazoa, Chordata, Amphibia, Anura, Pelobatidae.